CAGUAGCCGCGGGAAUACAGAGGGUGCGAGCGUUAAUCGGAUUUACUGGGCGUAAAGCGUGCGUAGGCGGCUUCUUAAGUCGGAUGUGAAAUCCCUGAGCUUAACUUAGGAAUUGCAUUCGAUACUGGGAAGCUAGAGUAUGGGAGAGGAUGGUAGAAUUCCAGGUGUAGCGGUGAAAUGCGUAGAGAUCUGGAGGAAUACCGAUGGCGAAGGCAGCCAUCUGGCCUAAUACUGACGCUGAGGUACGAAAGCAUGGGGAGCAAACAGGAUUAGAUACCCCAGUAGUCCCUGUCUUUAUACA
RNAcentral lists this ribosomal RNA (301 nucleotides) under uncultured bacterium. Its description in RNAcentral is "partial 16S ribosomal RNA". It matches the Rfam family "Bacterial small subunit ribosomal RNA", at positions 509 to 809 of the family's 1533-position model. The record is from RNAcentral.